RNAcentral lists this ribosomal RNA (248 nucleotides) under uncultured bacterium. RNAcentral's name for it is "partial 16S ribosomal RNA". It matches the Rfam family "Bacterial small subunit ribosomal RNA", at positions 524 to 776 of the family's 1533-position model. The record is from RNAcentral.
UACAGAGGUCUCAAGCGUUGUUCGGAUUCAUUGGGCGUAAAGGGUGUGUAGGUGGCGCGAUGGAUGGUGAUUAACGUUGGAUCUAACUCCGAAACUGCAUUCAUACUGGCGUGCUUGAGGACUGGAGAGGAGACUGGAAUUAUGGUGUAGCAGUGAAAUGCGUAGAGAUCAUGAGGAAGACCAGUGGCGAAGGCGGGUCUCUGGACAGUUCCUGACACUGAGACACGAAGGCCAGGGGAGCAAACGGG